AGUGAACGCUGGCGGUAGGCCUAACACAUGCAAGUCGAACGGCAGCACAGUAAGAGCUUGCUCUUACGGGUGGCGAGUGGCGGACGGGUGAGGAAUACAUCGGAAUCUACUUUUUCGUGGGGGAUAACGUAGGGAAACUUACGCUAAUACCGCAUACGACCUACGGGUGAAAGCAGGGGAUCUUCGGACCUUGCGCGAUUGAAUGAGCCGAUGUCGGAUUAGCUAGUUGGCGGGGUAAAGGCCCACCAAGGCGACGAUCCGUAGCUGGUCUGAGAGGAUGACCAGCCACACUGGAACGUAGACACGGUCCAGACUCCUACGGGAGCCAGCAGUGGGGAAUAUUGGACAAUGGGCGCAAGCCUGAUCCAGCCAUACCGCGUGGGUGAAGAAGGCCUUCGGGUUCUAAAGCCCUUUUGUUGGGAAAGAAAAGCAGCAGGUUAAUACCCCGCUGUUCUGACGGUACCCAAAGAAUAAGCACCGGCUAACUUCGUG
RNAcentral lists this ribosomal RNA (492 nucleotides) under uncultured bacterium. Its description in RNAcentral is "partial 16S ribosomal RNA". It matches the Rfam family "Bacterial small subunit ribosomal RNA", at positions 29 to 507 of the family's 1533-position model. The record is from RNAcentral.